This is a non-coding RNA of Cinara cedri, 237 nucleotides long. The record is from the annotation of a GenBank genome assembly. NCBI's taxonomy places the organism in Eukaryota, Metazoa, Arthropoda, Insecta, Hemiptera, Aphididae.
GUAAUGAUCGAUGGUUUUAAAACGUCAGUGGGUACACAAUCUAGGCACACCAGCUCGGCGACAAUAUUUAUCUCAGAUUUGCGGUUUGGCUAUUUAGUCGCACGAUAACAACAUUGUCGAAACAUAUUUUCGGGGAUUUCCGCGCGUCCAAUUACAAAUAAAGUUUCACAGCGCGCGCGGUGAAAAAUUCUGAACCGUCCGUCACGGUGGGUUUUCGAUCGGGCAGAAAAAUUGUUU